AUGGUGUCUGCUAGCACCGUAAUAUGUCCAUCCAUUAACCACUAUUUUGUCGAAAUACAGGCCUCUGCUUCUGGUUAUUACAAGCUAGGUAGUAUUGUGGGAGUGAUCGGAAACUUCUACACGACUCAUCACCAUCAUGUCCAUGCCCCAGAAUUGGGUGAGUGCUCAAGGAAGAAUUUUGUAGUUCCACUGUUGGAUUCCAAGCAGGCAAUUCAUGAUCAGCCUUGCGCAAGCUAA
Molecule: ribosomal RNA, 237 nt
Filed under: Triticum aestivum (bread wheat)
Lineage: Eukaryota; Viridiplantae; Streptophyta; Magnoliopsida; Poales; Poaceae
Description: partial small subunit ribosomal RNA
Source: RNAcentral